This 7185-nucleotide long non-coding RNA is filed under the name Xyrichtys novacula (pearly razorfish). Lineage: Eukaryota; Metazoa; Chordata; Actinopteri; Labriformes; Labridae. The record is from RNAcentral.
UUAGAUUUGCAUUUUGGGGAAUGCAGAAGUGUGUUUAAAUCAAGACUGAACAGUUGUUGAAUGUUUGUUUUGCUAAUGUCUGCCUGUGAAUGUCUUACAGAGCCCAGCAGAAAUCCAAUCUCUACCGAUCAUCCAGCCUGCAAAAAGAAAUUACAGUCAAUUUGUCAAGUAGAACCAAAAUCUAAUCUGUUUGUUUAAUGAUAUAAAGCUCUUUUCUUCAAGGCCAAAUAAACAGCCUCCCUGCCUUCAUGGCUGAUCACACACGACAUCUGAAUACUUACCAAUUUCAGAGCUUUCAUUCUAGUAUAUCUUAUUUUUAGCUCCAGUGCAUUUAUUCCUAUAUGUCAACUAGUAAAGAUGUAUUGAAUGUAUUUAUGGUAUCCUGUCUCGUUCACAUUAGAAGAAGGCUAUAUGACUUUCCCCACCAUCACAGAUUUCUAUACAGGGCUUUUACAUCCUGCCAACUACAGCUUGAAUUUAUUGUUUCUACUAUACCUUUGUGGUCUAUACAUAAAUGAAUAGGAAUGGUUUUGAUUUGAUUUUUUUUUCAAUCUGAUAUGCGAUUCCAUCUAAUUGGAACAAGCCAAAAGGAGGCAGUGCCAGCUAAUUUCUAAUGGGGAUCUCUGUUUGCCCCCUAAUUGACUAUAUAUCAUUGCAUAUGUUGAUGUCAAAAUGAGCAAUACUUCGAUAUUAAGGAUUUUUUUUUUAUUAUUAGUGACUGAAGCUAUUUGAUUCUUUGAAUAAUAAAACUGGAGAAAGUAUAAAGAGUGCAACAAAGUCCAAAGAAAGCAUGAUGGAGGCUCUUUAGUGACUGGGUGUGGUGUGAAUGGGUGAAUAUGACAAGUUGUGUAAGAGCAUUUUGAGAUGUCAGAUAUAGUAAAAAUUAGUAGCAUACAAGUCCACUUCAGUUUUUUUUACUGUAAAGGGGGGGUAGCAUGCAUUUUUUUCAGCCCCUAAAUUUCCUCUCUGAUACCUCUAUAACAUCUUUACGUAAUUUUUAGAUCAAAAAACGCCUAAAAUUUUUCACAAUGGUGUAUAAAAAUGUCGUUAUUUCAGCCUUCUGAGACACCUUUUUUCUUAAGUUUCAUAAAAAAAUAACAGUUGUUUUAUAUUACAUCGCUAUUUCACAUGACCUCCCUCUCAACUAGUUUUCCAAAUACGCCUGCCUGGCCUUCUGCCUGAAUUUGACAGAGCAAUUCAUAUGAUGAGUAAGAGCCUGAGAGCAUCAGCAUCCUCUACGCUGAUAGGGAGAGUAAUUCACAGAGGAAGAAAACAUCUAUCAAUUGAAAAUGAUCAGUAAAUAACAACACUAUAAAGAGAACUGAAUAACAUUAUUGGUUCAUCCUACUUUCAAGUGCUUGAUUUUCAAUGACACCACCGGAUGAAGGUAUUUGAUGACAGGUUAGAUUUGAACACACCGUAGGAUGUUCGUAUACAGAUAAGAGCAUAAAUCAGCCGAAGUGACGUCAGCAGGAUGCACUGAUGGCAUGGAAGUUUAGUUAGUGUCGACUGAAAUGUGACUCAUAUGCUCAAACAAACACACACUUUCAUUUUCACAGAUCCUGAAAGGUGCCUAGGGAGUAAGAGGUACUGAUGGUAGCCUUGCGCUAACCUUGACUCUUUGCCAGACAAUCAAGGGCAACAAACGGGUCCAUUCAUAGGCAGGGCCCACAUCCUACUGCUACCACCCACACAGACUGUCACCCUCCCGAGCAAGUGUCAUCUUGAGGGACUGGACCACACUGCACCUUGUCUGUCUUACACUCUAAAAGGCUUGGUAACAUGUAGCAACUUAAGGACAUCAGACUAACCUGAAUGUGGGGAGAUAAAUUAGCUUUCAUUACUCAUCUGUCAUCGGUCGAGUUGUGUACUCUUGGGGGCAAUUAAGAGCUGAAAUCACUGUGUGCAUCAUCACCACAGCACACAGAAUAAAAACGAGAAGCGCUGUAUUUGACUCUUAAUUACAUGCAAUUGGCGUUUAUUUCCUACCAUUCAUACAGUGACAAAAUGACAGGAAAAGAUACUGGCUUCACGUUUUGGGGCACAUAUCCAGAUUCUCGGUAUCUCCUAGAAGUCAGAAUAUUAUCAAAGCUUUGUCUGAGUAUGAUCAAAAACAAAUAAAAUCUAAUUAAUCUAGUUAUCACCUUACACAGGAGGCUGACUAAUCAUGCAUCCGAGCUCAGAACAUUUCACCAGACAGGAGAUCAUCGUCUUUAUUAGUCAUGAAGAAAUCUACAAUGAUAAGCUUCAAACUAGGGGUUCAAAUUCAAAGCACUUUUCUUUAUUGAUCUUUGAAAAUGUUAACAAUCGAUUAUUGAGUCAGUAAAAAGAAGAUACUUUCCAUUAACCCCCGGUUCCUACUAUGUCAGUUUUAAAGACUUUCAUUAUUUUUAUCAUCAUUAUUUCAAGUUCAUGGUCACACUUUUAAAGAUUGAGGCUUUGCAUUUAGACAUAUUUUUCUUCAUAUUUAAAAAAAAAAGGGUUGCCUAUAGAGCUCUGUUGAUGUAAAAUAGCUCCAUCCAGCUUUAUUUGCCCGAAAUAUGGAAAAUAGACUUCCAUUAAAAACAUGUUUCAUGAUCGUGUGUUUAUGACACCAAAACAACAUAUUGCAACCUUUUCUAUUCAGUCAUUCCAUCACCACGACUCAAAAUUUCACUAUUCCACAGCGGUCCAACAGAUUUUAACCCCCUUUUGUACUGUGCACAAAGGGCUUUGUUUAAAGUGUUAUGUCAUCCACUAAACAUCAUCUGAGUUCUGCAGUCUGGGACUAAGAAAGGGGAACAUUUGGGCAAUUUCAACUUUGCCCUCACUUAAUUGCAAGUGGAUGGACAUGCAUGACGAUGCACGGGUCCUUCCAAUCAAUAGGUGAGAAUAUAUCACAUCUCAAAUACGCAGUAAAUUUAUUUAAUGUAUGCGCAUAAUCAGCAUAAUAAUGGUCAUAUUUUGGUUAGAGGGGGAACAACAACUUGUCAGUGAUUUCUAUCAUACAUAUAUCGUUUGAUUUUUCAUGCUUGUAUAUAUAAUCAACUUACCAUGAACAAAUGCAUCCACUCGCAUAUGAUUUGGUAGGGGAAAAGGAGGUAAAACUAGCAUGUUUUUCAUUACAAUAGACUCAUCUGUUCAGUAUAAAUGCUAUAUACAGUAUAAAUUUAGUAUAAAUGCUUCCUUAAUGAAUCCAAGUCUUAUGACAUGGUGCACAAUAACAGGCAUAAAAACUGUGCAACAUAGAUUUUUUUUUUUUGUAGUGGUCAGGGAUAAAGUUGUUGAAGAGAUUUGAGUCGAUGGAAGUAAAGAUGUUCAUUUUAUUAACACUUAUCUGCAUGUCCAUGUUACGGCUGUGUGUUUGUUUUGUGUGAGUUUUUCCCCUUUUGUCUCCCCAUAGCUGCCCAGGUGAAAUCACUGAGUGCUAAUCAGACUCACCUGGUGAUGGGCCUUUAAAGACCGAGAGCUGCCUGCAGUCUGGAGAGGCAUUUGGUGGGGAACUGCUAUCCUGCUGCCUCUCAUUUGUGUUGUGGGUGCUUUGUGUUUAGUUUGCAAGUAAUAAAUAACCAUAGCUUGCAUGAAAAAGCAAAUCUGCCAGCAACACUAGAGUAUUAAUCAUAAAUGUUAGUGAUAUUUUAGUUUUGAUCAUAUUUCCUAGUUCUCCUGCCAGUUACAUACAUGCUGAAGUGUUGAGUACAUCAGGAUGCUGAUAUCGACCUGUAUGGUAGAAGGGUACUACAGAUCCUCAGCUGGCAUGACAGACACAGAGACAAAGGUGCUGAUCUUUAUGUCACAGUCACUUGAAGUGGCCCUUAAUAAAGAGGCUGCAGCUGAGGAAGAAAGGAUUAUCCUUGCUCUCAGAGCCAAGGCUGUGUCCCAUUAGUGGUGGACCACUGACAAUAGAGGUCUCGAUGACAAGGUGUGACUGGGGACAGGCUUUGGAUGUCAGCUAGCACGGGCUAAUUAUUGUAAGGUGCUAGCAAGGACGGUGAAACUAAAGGGAACCAGGCAAAAGCACAAGACAGCAGUUGGGGAAAAAAAAGGCUUUUUGAUGGAGGGAGCAAAAGCAGCAGUUCUGAGUCCUGCAGUCCAUAACUACAUGGAGUAAUACUGAAACCCUUUCCUGCAGGCACUACACAUCAUUCAGAGUAGCACAGCUGUUGAGAGCCAAAUAAAUCACUGUUACACAAGGGCCGCUCUUAUGAGGAAGUACGCUAGCAGGAAUCCCCUUGUUAGCUUUUUCAUUUUUGAGGAUUAGUGAAGCUUCCUUUAAAAGAGCCUCUAACAAAAAACUGAUGUCCUUCUCCCAACAGUCAAGGUCUAAUGUGUUCAAUUCCAGUCCUGGUCAAGCCCUUUCCUGCAUGGUGUUCCAUCCUAUUCCCACAUUAUAUGUCACCCUUUAGCUGUCAAGACCCACUCUGAUGAAAGUCAUGUUUUUCUUGUUGUCUAUGUGGCAUUUUUCUGAUGCUAGAGGACAUAUCAUGAGAAAACGAAGUGCAAAAUUACAUUUCUGAGUAGUUCUCGUUCGAAUUGCUCUGACCUUCUAACAGACCCAAACGACAGGCUCAGACACGGUGAGAUUUCCUACAUCACAAAUCCAAGCUCCAGCCCUGGAGCCCCGCUAUGCAGGACAGACCCCAAAAAUUAGAUUCGACAAUUGCAUAACAAGUGUGUGUGUGGUAGGGGAUUUGCAAUGCUCCAUGAAAGCUAAUUAUGAUAUUACCUUUCAUCAUGCCCCUAAAGACAAUAGCUCCUAUUUUACCUGCCACUUCUACUACAUUGGCAAUGUUAGGCUGCAUGCUAACAUGAAGACAAGUGUGCAGAGCAGCGCUGUCUCCGCCCACAACUCAAAGGCGAAUUGCUAAUGAACUACUGGAGCUCUGCAGAAGAAAAACCCUUGAAAAUGACACAAGUAAUGUGAUUUUGGCAAAAAACUCCAUAAUCACUUCAUAAGCAGACCACUGAUAACACUUCAAGUAGUUAAAAAAACAAUUAGAGUGGGACUUUGAUGCAAAUGCCUGAAAAAAUAAUCCAAACUUAAUUCAUGCAAAUGUACACUAAUACAUUUGCUUGAUUGUGAGGGAGAUUGUGUGUGUACAGUGAAGAGUGACUCUGUUCACAGGCCCAUCCAUUCGAGGUCAAUCCCCAUAUCAAAGAAAAAACAGAGGAGAAAAACAAGCUAUGCUUGAUGGCUUUGACUACAAGGCCACAAGGUUUCAGCCACAAAAUAUGUACAGGCCUUUAACUUUUUCACUCUCCACUGCAAAUUUCUGACACCCACACUUUGUCAUGUUGAAUGUUUUACUGAAGCAGUUUGAAAGGCUGCACUAUUUGAUGUACUACACGUUGUAUGUACUGUGCUUGUGUCUACUUGGAGUGUAGGGAUCAUUUUGAGUACACAUCUCUCUCAAAAUAAGAUCGUUGGACCUUUGCCUAUAUCCCCUCUUUAGAUGAAGUUUCAAAGAAUACCUGUCAUACUUAUCAUACCUGGCACACAGAGGUCUUUUAUGAAGCCACUUAAACACAGCAAAAAAUCAUUGCUACCUCAUCAUAAAGUCAUCUCAAAUAAAAUAAAGUAGCACAAAAAGAAAAUCUGUAUUCUGUUCAUUUGUUUCCACAACAAAAGCAUGCUUUGGCAAGAGCCACAUCUCUAGUGGGUGACAGUGCUCAUGCAGAAAAUGCAGAUUCCAUCCCAGAAAAACAACUGAUUUCAUCCAAAGGAGUCACUGGAAUCAACACAACAUGCAGUGUCCACACUAAGCCUCUGUUACAUAGCACAGUAACAUAUAAUGGUUCUAUAACAAUGGGUUAUAGAAUAAAACAGGUGCUUUACUUAACAAUAGACAUGGCUUUUUAACUUCUCUUAAACACUUUUCCUGCUUUUCUACCAUCCAACAUGAACAAAUUACUUGAGAUAAAAUGCCAACCAGGACUCCAUAAUAGCCCACUACUGUGUGAAUAUAGCAUAAAAAGGCAGUAAAUGUCACUGUGCUCCAUUAAGAAGUCCUUUGUCUGAGAUGCUGUAGCCCCUCAGGGCUUAAUGGUCUUUGUAUUCUCGAGCAUGUCACUUUUUUCAAGAGGGGAAUGUCCUCUCUGUUUGGUCCCAUGUGGUCACCAAACACCAGGACAAGGCAUUGUAUUUGUAGACAGUCUGCCAGGAAAUCCAGUUGGAUUAGAGUGCUAACAGCAAUGCAGUCUUUUUUUGUAAUAGUGCAGAUGCACCAAGACAGUUGCAAAAACACACUCUGAUAAACAGCCGCAGUAGUGGAAAAUGUCUUUUACAUGCAAAGAUGUUGAUCAAUUUUCCUAAUAAUCAAUCAAUCUUAAUUUGUGUAGCACUUUUCAUACAAUAUAAUGGAGCACAAAGUGUUUUACACACAAAAAGAAAUCUGCAUGCAAGACACAGGAAAGUCAACUCUGCUGACCGGGUGACCUAGAAGUGAGUUAAUAAAUAAACCGGUUACUGGAGUCCUUAAACUAGUUGAAGGUCGGAUGCUGCUUUGAGAGAAUCCCACAUUUCCAGAUACAUGUCCCAGAGGUAGCAGCAUGACCAGAUCUAAUGAGAUGACAAACACUGAGUGCUCUGGUGGCUGAGUGCCUGUGGGGAGAAACACUAAUGUGUGUUUAUCUGCAGCGUGUGUGUGCGUGCUUCCCCUAAGAUUCACCCAUACUCUGUACUCACACCUCCCAAUGGAUGAGCGUGGGCUCCCCCAUGCACUCCCUUGCGUUCCCACGCCUUGGCCAUCGCUCUUUGACAUGACUAACGUAAACAGAUGUUUUGCUGUGACAGGAAGUGGCCGACUUCUGAGGGGCUGAUGGAAAAGAAGCUGUUCGGCUCCGUGACAGAGAACAGUGAGGAGGUCACAGUGCAGCAGGAAGCUGUGUGUUUGCAAGGGGUGUUGGGGAUUGAAGAGGCUGAAGGGACAGUCUGUAACCGUACAGACAGGGUUAAACAGCUGGGUUCACCUACAUUGCCUUUAUGGUUCUAACCUUAGUGACCCGCAACAACAUAAGGACUGAAAAUCAAUGGCAAAAUGGAGGGAAGAAAAAUGAGUACAACAAAGAGGGAGAGACAGAAGAGGGAGAAAAACAGAAUCACUCUUAUAGGCUGUCCUCAACAAAUAACCACGCCCAAAUAAGUGAAUGAGAAUGUUUUCCUACCAGCUAAAGCACUUGUCAGAGUCAUUAUUAUAUUGAUGCUGA